Molecule: small nuclear RNA, 276 nt
Filed under: Chinchilla lanigera (long-tailed chinchilla)
Lineage: Eukaryota; Metazoa; Chordata; Mammalia; Rodentia; Chinchillidae
Description: 7SK RNA (ENSCLAG00000021250.1)
Rfam family: 7SK RNA
About the family: 7SK was discovered as an abundant small nuclear RNA in the mid-70s but a possible function has only recently been suggested.
Source: Rfam by way of RNAcentral
GGAUGUGAGAGCAACCUGGCUGUGCACCUGUCACCCCAUUGAUCACCGGGGCUGAUUCUGCACUCUGAAUGGCUAGGUAGCUGUCCCUUUCCUCCCUCACUGCUCCACUUGCACCCCUUCCAAAGCUGUGCAUUCAGUGGAACUGGAUGACCAACCCGAUGGAGGAGGAGCUCUGAUCCUUUUCAAGGAAUCCCCAGUGACCUAAAGACCUCCCAUCAGGCCCUGCCUCUUAAAAUUCCACCACCUCCAAUAGUACCACUCUGGGUACCAGGCCUU